Molecule: non-coding RNA, 82 nt
Organism: Paramuricea clavata
Lineage: Eukaryota; Metazoa; Cnidaria; Anthozoa; Malacalcyonacea; Plexauridae
Source: the annotation of a GenBank genome assembly
GGCAGCGUGGCCGAGUGGUCUAAGGCGUUGGUUUUAGGCACCAUUGAUUUCGAUGACAUGCGUUCGAAUCCCAACGCUGCCA